AUGUUUGAAGGAGUAGAACGGGUGCUUCGGAGAGUUAGACAUGUGUCAGGGUUGAAGAGGAAUCUAAUUUCGCUUGGAGUUCUACAUGAUGGUGGUAUGAUAUUCCGUUGUGAUCGGGAUAAGAAGACCAUGAGAAUCGUGGAAGAUAAGGUGACCGUGAUGAUGGGAGAUAGGACAUCUUUGCAUCUUUACAAGUUGCAAGGGGGCACUAUUGCAGGUGGAGACAUGGAGACUGAAGUUGUGGGGGUAGCAUAUGUGUUCCAUAGAGGCGGCGGGUCUAUGGCAGACUCGUCGAGUAGCUCUCAGUAA
Molecule: ribosomal RNA, 309 nt
Filed under: Triticum aestivum (bread wheat)
Lineage: Eukaryota; Viridiplantae; Streptophyta; Magnoliopsida; Poales; Poaceae
Description: partial small subunit ribosomal RNA
Source: RNAcentral